This 467-nucleotide ribosomal RNA is filed under the name uncultured bacterium. RNAcentral describes it as "partial 16S ribosomal RNA". It matches the Rfam family "Bacterial small subunit ribosomal RNA", at positions 34 to 506 of the family's 1533-position model. The record is from RNAcentral.
UCCUCCCUCUUUCUUCGUGCUUAACACAUGCAAGUCGAACGGAAAGGCCCUGCUUUUGUGGGGUGCUCGAGUGGCGAACGGGUGAGUAACACGUGAGUAACCUGCCCUUGACUUUGGGAUAACUUCAGGAAACUGGGGCUAAUACCGGAUAGGAGCUCCUGCUGCAUGGUGGGGGGUGGAAAGUUUCGGCGGUUGGGGAUGGACUCGCGGCUUAUCAGCUUGUUGGUGGGGUAGUGGCUUACCAAGGCUUUGACGGGUAGCCGGCCUGAGAGGGUGACCGGCCACAUUGGGAAGGAGAUACGGCCCAGACGCCUACGGGAGGGAGAAGGGGGGAAUAUUGCACAAUGGGCGGAAGCCUGAUGCAGCAACGCCGCGUGCGGGAGGACGGCCUUCGGGUUGUAAACCGCUUUCGCAUGUGACGAAGCGUGAGGGAAGGGAAUGGGGAAAGAAGCACCGGCUAACUACGU